Molecule: long non-coding RNA, 348 nt
Organism: Onychostoma macrolepis
Lineage: Eukaryota; Metazoa; Chordata; Actinopteri; Cypriniformes; Cyprinidae
Exons: 3
Source: RefSeq, a predicted model, not a curated record
GAGAGAGAGCGGGAGGUUGCCGCUUGAAAUAGAUACAUAUAUAGAUAGGCUACUAUAAUGUACUAUAAUAUAAAAACAUUAUGUAAGUGUUCAUACUGUUAUUAUUUUGUUGUUGUUUGUUUAGGUUAGCAAUAUUUAUCGCCGUCAUUAAUAAUAACAAACAAACAAACAAACACGAAACGGAUAAUCAUCGUGAACAUCACGUACGACAAGGCGUGAACGCAGCAGCUCCUGCUUUAAAUUGAGAAUAAGCUCUUACAGUGAUUUGUGAUGUCAUAUGGCAUUUGACGGUGAUUACUGCAAAUCUACAGUGACGGACCUUUAAAUAAAGCUCAUUAUGAAUCAUCA